This 74-nucleotide transfer RNA is filed under the name Nomia chalybeata. RNAcentral describes it as "tRNA-Trp". Lineage: Eukaryota; Metazoa; Arthropoda; Insecta; Hymenoptera; Halictidae. The record is from RNAcentral.
AAAAUUGUAAGUUAAAUUUAAACUUUAAUUUUUCAAAAAUUAAAAUAUAAUAUAACUCAAAAUUAUCAAUUUUA